Molecule: transfer RNA, 72 nt
Filed under: Bos taurus (domestic cattle)
Lineage: Eukaryota; Metazoa; Chordata; Mammalia; Artiodactyla; Bovidae
Also listed under: 2 other names
Rfam family: tRNA
About the family: Transfer RNA (tRNA) molecules are approximately 80 nucleotides in length. Their secondary structure includes four short double-helical elements and three loops (D, anti-codon, and T loops). Further hydrogen bonds mediate the characteristic L-shaped molecular structure. tRNAs have two regions of fundamental functional importance: the anti-codon, which is responsible for specific mRNA codon recognition, and the 3' end, to which the tRNAs corresponding amino acid is attached (by aminoacyl-tRNA synthetases). tRNAs cope with the degeneracy of the genetic code in two manners: having more than one tRNA (with a specific anti-codon) for a particular amino acid; and 'wobble' base-pairing, i.e. permitting non-standard base-pairing at the 3rd anti-codon position.
Source: Rfam by way of RNAcentral
UCCCUGGUGGUCCAGUGUCUAAGACUCUACGUUCCCAAUUCAGGGGCCCAGGUUCAAUCCCUGGUCAGGGUA